CAAGGAUGCAACUUCAAAAUUUGGAAGAGUAUCAUUUAACAGGUGCGGACUGACGAGGAAAUGGUCCAAGAAUGAAGAACCGUUUGGAAAUGAUGGAGAAGAAUCACAAAUUCGGUGUAUCACCCCAGACAGGACUUUUUGAGUUUAGAUCACCUCCAAGGAUAAAUCCAUCAAAAUUCCUACAAAGUUGAAUGAGUUUUAAUAAAUCAGACUCAAACUUAUGAGUCUGAUAGUUACACUGGACGUAAAUUGAACCAAUUAGAUAUUUUCUGCGGACACUGUUGUCUAAUAGCUCUAUUUGAGCAAGGCAAGUAUUUAUUCCGACAUCAUUUAAAACAAUUCGGUUGAAUUGUAUAGAAUUUCUGACAACAAUGCCAACCCCAAUAGGCGAAUUGUCAUAAAUAAAGUUGUAUCCAUUUAAUUUAA
This is a long non-coding RNA of Stomoxys calcitrans (stable fly), 426 nucleotides long. RefSeq lists it as uncharacterized. The record is from RefSeq and is a predicted model, not a curated record. The transcript is spliced from 2 exons. Lineage: Eukaryota; Metazoa; Arthropoda; Insecta; Diptera; Muscidae.